RNAcentral lists this ribosomal RNA (163 nucleotides) under uncultured bacterium. RNAcentral's name for it is "partial 16S ribosomal RNA". It matches the Rfam family "Bacterial small subunit ribosomal RNA", at positions 355 to 510 of the family's 1533-position model. The record is from RNAcentral.
UAGGGAAUCUUCCACGAUGGACGAAAGUCUGAUGGAGCAACGCCGCGUGAGUGAAGAAGGGUUUCGGCUCGUAAAACUCUGUUGUUAAAGAAGAACAUAUCUGAGAGUAACUGUUCAGGUAUUGACGGUAUUUAACCAGAAAGCCACGGCUAACUACGUGCCA